Molecule: long non-coding RNA, 307 nt
Organism: Hibiscus syriacus
Lineage: Eukaryota; Viridiplantae; Streptophyta; Magnoliopsida; Malvales; Malvaceae
Exons: 4
Source: RefSeq, a predicted model, not a curated record
AUCGACCCUUUCUUCUCAGUCAAGUGUUCUUUAAUUGAAACCCUAAUUUCUCAAAGCUUCUUCCUUGUUUCUUGUCUGGGGAUAAUCAGGGUCGUGUUUGCAAUGGCGAAAAGUUCCUUCAAGCUUGAGCAUCCAUUGGAAAAGAGGCAGGAUGAAGUUGCUCGCAUCAGGUCGAAGUAUCCCGAUAGAAUUCCCAUUAUUGUUUAGAAGGCUGUAAAGAGCGACGUUCCUGAUCUUGAUCAAAAGAAGUUAGUUGCAUCUUCCCUUGGAGUUUAUUCGGUCUGCUAUUUGCAAAACAUGCCCGGAU